AACGAACGCUGGCGGCAGGCCUGACACAUGCAAGUCGAGCGCCCGGAUUUAUCCGGGAGCGGCGCACGGGUGAGUAACGCGUGGGAACAUGCCCUGAAGUACGGAACAACCUGGGGAAACCUUGGCUAAUACCGUAUACGCCCUGAGGGGGAAAGAUUUAUCGCUUUGGGAUUGGCCCGCGUUGGAUUAGCUGGAUGGUGUGGUAACGGCGCACCAAGGCGACGAUCCAUAACUGGUCUGAGAGGAUGACCAGUCACACUGGGACUGAGACACGGCCCAGACUCCUACGGGAGGCAGCAGUGGGGAAUAUUGGACAAUGGGCGAAAGCCUGAUCCAGCCAUGCCGCGUGAGUGAAGAAGGCUUUCGGGUUGUAAAGCUCUUUCAGCGGGGACGAUGAUGACGGUACCCGCAGAAGAAGCCCCGGCUAACUUCGUGCCAGCCGCCGCUGUAA
This 451-nucleotide ribosomal RNA is filed under the name uncultured bacterium. Its description in RNAcentral is "partial 16S ribosomal RNA". It matches the Rfam family "Bacterial small subunit ribosomal RNA", at positions 29 to 523 of the family's 1533-position model. The record is from RNAcentral.